Molecule: ribosomal RNA, 1346 nt
Filed under: uncultured bacterium
Lineage: Bacteria
Description: partial 16S ribosomal RNA
Rfam family: Bacterial small subunit ribosomal RNA
Source: RNAcentral
GACGAACCCUGGCGGCGUGCUUAACACAUGCAAGUCGAACGGAAAGGCCCUGCUUUUGUGGGGUGCUCGAGUGGCGAACGGGUGAGUAACACGUGAGUAACCUGCCCUUGACUUUGGGAUAACUUCAGGAAACUGGGGCUAAUACCGGAUAGGAGCUCCUGCCGCAUGGUGGGGGUUGGAAAGUAUCGGCGGUUGGGGAUGGACUCGCGGCUUAUCAGCUUGUUGGUGGGGUAGUGGCUUACCAAGGCUUUGACGGGUAGCCGGCCUGAGAGGGUGACCGGCCACAUUGGGACUGAGAUACGGCCCAGACUCCUACGGGAGGCAGCAGUGGGGAAUAUUGCACAAUGGGCGGAAGCCUGAUGCAGCAACGCCGCGUGCGGGAUGACGGCCUUCGGGUUGUAAACCGCUUUCGCCUGUGACGAAGCGUGAGUGACGGUAAUGGGUAAAGAAGCACCGGCUAACUACGUGCCAGCAGCCGCGGUGAUACGUAGGGUGCGAGCGUUGUCCGGAUUUAUUGGGCGUAAAGGGCUCGUAGGUGGUUGAUCGCGUCGGAAGUGUAAUCUUGGGGCUUAACCCUGAGCGUGCUUUCGAUACGGGUUGACUUGAGGAAGGUAGGGGAGAAUGGAAUUCCUGGUGGAGCGGUGGAAUGCGCAGAUAUCAGGAGGAACACCAGUGGCGAAGGCGGUUCUCUGGGCCUUUCCUGACGCUGAGGAGCGAAAGCGUGGGGAGCGAACAGGCUUAGAUACCCUGGUAGUCCACGCUGUAAACGGUGGGUACUAGGUGUGGGGUCCAUUCCACGGGUUCCGUGCCGUAGCUAACGCUUUAAGUACCCCGCCUGGGGAGUACGGCCGCAAGGCUAAAACUCAAAGGAAUUGACGGGGCCCCGCACAAGCGGCGGAGCAUGCGGAUUAAUUCGAUGCAACGCGUAGAACCUUACCUGGGUUUGACAUGGAUCGGGAGUGCUCAGAGAUGGGUGUGCCUCUUUUGGGGUCGGUUCACAGGUGGUGCAUGGCUGUCGUCAGCUCGUGUCGUGAGAUGUUGGGUUAAGUCCCGCAACGAGCGCAACCCUUGUUCACUGUUGCCAGCACGUUAUGGUGGGGACUCAGUGGAGACCGCCGGGGUCAACUCGGAGGAAGGUGGGGAUGACGUCAAGUCAUCAUGCCCCUUAUGUCCAGGGCUUCACGCAUGCUACAAUGGCUGGUACAGAGAGUGGCGAGCCUGUGAGGGUGAGCGAAUCUCGGAAAGCCGGUCUCAGUUCGGAUUGGGGUCUGCAACUCGACCUCAUGAAGUCGGAGUCGCUAGUAAUCGCAGAUCAGCAACGCUGCGGUGAAUACGUUCCCGGGGCU